RNAcentral lists this ribosomal RNA (692 nucleotides) under uncultured bacterium. Its description in RNAcentral is "bacterial SSU rRNA". It matches the Rfam family "Bacterial small subunit ribosomal RNA", at positions 625 to 1317 of the family's 1533-position model. The record is from RNAcentral.
UCUGGAAACUNUCUGACUUGAGUGCAGAAGGGGAGAGUGGAAUNCCAUGUGUAGCGGUGAAAUGCGUAGAUAUAUGGAGGAACACCAGUGGCGAAAGCGGCUCUCUGGUCUGUCACUGACGCUGAGGCUCGAAAGCGUGGGUAGCGAACAGGAUUAGAUACUCUGGUAGUCCACGCCGUAAACGAUGAGUGCUAGGUGUUAGGCCCUUUCCGGGGCUUAGUGCCGGAGCUAACGCAAUAAGCACUCCGCCUGGGGAGUACGACCGCAAGGUUGAAACUCAAAGGAAUUGACGGGGGCCCGCACAAGCGGUGGAGCAUGUGGUUUAAUUCGAAGCAACGCGAAGAACCUUACCAGGUCUUGACAUCCCGAUGCUAUUCUUAGAGAUAGGAAGUUACUUCGGUACAUCGGAGACAGGUGGUGCAUGGUUGUCGUCAGCUCGUGUCGUGAGAUGUUGGGUUAAGUCCCGCAACGAGCGCAACCCUUAUUGUUAGUUGCCAUCAUUAAGUUGGGCACUCUAGCGAGACUGCCGGUAAUAAACCGGAGGAAGGUGGGGAUGACGUCAAAUCAUCAUGCCCCUUAUGACCUGGGCUACACACGUGCUACAAUGGUCGGUACAACGAGUUGCGAGCCGGUGACGGCAAGCUAAUCUCUGAAAGCCGAUCUCAGUUCGGAUUGGAGGCUGCAACUCGCCU